GCCUAUGACCAAUUCACCCGGGAUAUACCCGAUCUUGUCAGAUCUCAGAAGCCAAGCAGGGUCGAGUCUGGUUAAGUGCUUUGACGGGUGACCACCAAUGCCAAACAGGUAGUCGUAGGAC
This 121-nucleotide ribosomal RNA is filed under the name Petromyzon marinus (sea lamprey). Lineage: Eukaryota; Metazoa; Chordata; Hyperoartia; Petromyzontiformes; Petromyzontidae. The record is from RNAcentral.